UUACUGCCCGACACUGGUCCCUCACUGGUGUUUCAUCCUCAGUGGUUCAUGAUACUCUCUUGUUUCACGUUACUAGUCUUCAGAUGAUUCCACUUUUGGACAGUUUGCAUAGAUUCUUACUUUCGGUUGGACAUUUUGGACAGUUCGUUUGUUUAUGGAUAAAUGAUCAUUUAUUUUAGACUGCCAAGCCACUCAGCUGUAAGUAACUUUCUGGCUAAUAAAUUUAAUUUCACCUGUGUGUGUCUGCAUUUGGGCCCUAAACCUCUGAACGCUUGUGUAGCUGUCCACCUACACAUUAACCCUACAGUUAAUUUGUAUGUUACUUCCUGUUCUCUCUCUUAAACAAACUAGUUUUUCCUGAUUCUUGUGUUCUGAGCUCACAGACAGUGUCACUGUUUUACCUCCAGUCUGACUUCAGACCAGAAGAUGGAAGAGGAGGACAGAGCAGAGUCUGCAGGAUCCAGCUGUCUGUCUCUGAAGAGUGACCGGUCCAGACGUAAACCUCCAGACUUCAGUAAUGAACCUGGACCCUCAGACACAAAACUGACUUCAGACCAGAAGAUGGAAGAGGAGGACAGAGCAGAGUCUGCAGGAUCCAUCUGUCUGUCUCUGAAGAGUGACCGGUCCCACCUUAAACCUCCAGACUUCAGUCCUGAACCUGGACCCUCAGACACAAAAGAGAGAAAGAGGAGUCCUGUUCCUGUGGAGGAGCAGCCGUCCUGCUGUGCUUUGUGUCAGGAC
Long non-coding RNA from Micropterus salmoides (largemouth bass), 741 nucleotides. RefSeq lists it as uncharacterized. The record is from RefSeq and is a predicted model, not a curated record. The transcript is spliced from 3 exons. NCBI's taxonomy places the organism in Eukaryota, Metazoa, Chordata, Actinopteri, Centrarchiformes, Centrarchidae.